RNAcentral lists this long non-coding RNA (468 nucleotides) under Mytilus galloprovincialis (Mediterranean mussel). The record is from RNAcentral. Lineage: Eukaryota; Metazoa; Mollusca; Bivalvia; Mytilida; Mytilidae.
AUCUUUUUAAUCCAGCACAAUGUGAACAAAAUAUGUAAUAAAUUUGGAAUAGUCUAUAGAGAUACAGUCGAUCACAACAGAAAAACAGGAAAUUAACGUAAGGAAUGUGCAUUUUUUUUUAAUACUUAGAGUAACUUGAAAAAUGAUACUGGUACCGUCCAAAUGUAACACCCCUCUACACAAUGGGGUCAAAUGCAGAUUUGUCCCCAUCUAGUCAAGAAGAUAUCGAAAUUAACCAAAAACAAAAAGAAGACGAUGCUGCAGAUUUAGAAGUACCAGUUCCCAAAACGAAAGAAGAAAACAAGUUCCCGAAAAGAAAGAAAAAUACAAACUACACUUACAAAGAUGUGAUGAAAUUGUUAGCCACAAUUACGGAUGACCAUCAUGAAUGAAUGGAUGUAAAAGAAACAGCACGAUGACAAGAUGAAACAAGAGGGGAAUGAAAUUGAAUUAUUUGCAAAUACAAAC